GGGAGACUAGGAGGGCUCCUGCAUCUCCUGGUCCCUCUGUGGAUAAAUACACGGCCAGUGCCCCAGGCCUGGGUCCAUAUGAACACUCUCCCUCCCCCACCACCAGGAAAAGCAGUCACAGCUACAGGUGGGCAUCCUCCCCUCCUCCCCACUGUGCUCCCAGGCACCUGCUGGCUGUGCUAUGCUCUGCAACACAGGGCUGCCGGCCAGGGUGGGGCCACAGUUAGUCUCAUUCCACCUGUGCCGUCUCUGACUCACUGCACUGUCCGAGUGGGCAGAAGGUAGGUGCCGGCUCCAGGGCCAGGGGACACUUAGCAACUGCUCAGAAUCUCCCAAAGGUGGCUUUUCCUCAAGGUACCAUCUCCUUCCUCCUUUCACCAGCUCUCCCAAAAACAGGUGUGAGAACUAGUCCCUUGAUGUGAGAGAUACUGUGAAGUUCUUGCUUUAUUUUAAACCCCAGCUUAAUCAGAUGAUUUUUCUUGUGGGCUAAGCACUUUCAUCCUUUGCCUCCUUGAGAAAAUUGUCAAAGCUGAAGGUCUCCUUGCCAAUGAAUCAAUUUCUGCCUCUAGCACCUUUUCCCUCUUUCACUUCCAUUGUGCAAAUAACCAGUUCAUGCUCUGGGUCGGUUGGCUGAGCAGACAGGCAGGUGGCACCUGCACAGGUAAGUGGUUGGGAUGAAAGUCAGGUCCUUUUUUCUCCCUCCACAACCAGAACCCCAAUUAACCUGGUACCCACAAGUUCCCGCCCUGGCUAGCGCCCUCCAACUGGGCCCAUUUUGCAUUCAAUGCGAUUCCAAAAACAAAAAAAAGUGUUUCACGUAAGCCCUUAAGAUACAACAAGAGUAGGGCAGAAUUUUAAUACUGGUUUUGCUUUAAGACGCAAGUAAGUCUCUUUUGGGAGCCAGCAUGAAGUGGGGGCACCACCACUAUCCAACUGCAGAUGGGGUUGGCUCCAGGCAACAGGUGGAUGCUGGACGGGGAAACCAGGAAAGGCUGGGCCCUACAAGGAGCCCACCAUGACCUGCAAAGGCCAAGGAGGCCAAGCACUCAGGAACUGCAGGAAGACAGGCUGUAGGGGACAUCAGGAGAACUAAGUGUCUUAGUCUGUUUUGUGUUUCUAUAACAGAACACCACAGACUGGGCCGUUUAUAAAGAAAAAUUUAUUUUGCGCAGUUCUGGAGGUUGGGAAGUCCAAAGUCGAGUGGCCGUAUCCGGUGAGAGCCCUCCUGCAGCAUCAUCCCAUGACGGAAGGUGUCCCAUGGUGAGAGAGCACGUAUACCAGCUCAGGUCUCCCUUCCUUUUCUCAUAAGGCCACAUCCCCCAUCGGGUCCCAUCCUGAUGUCCUCAUCUAAUCCUAGUUACCUCCCAAAGGCCCCACCUCCAAUCAACAUGUGACUAUGGGGAGUAAGUUUCCAGCCUAUGAAACUGGGGGACACAUUCAAACCACAGCACCAAGCAAGCUGGAGCAGCCAAGAGGAAGCCACAUGUUCCUGCAGGGCAGGGCAGCCUCCACCAUGCAGGGCUGGGACAGGCCAGGGCAGUGAGGGCUCAUGGGGGCCGCACCCACGCCAGCUCCUGCAGCACCAGCCUCUGGCCAGCUGUGUGCCUGGAGCAGAGGGGAGCAGGACCCACGUCCCAGUCCCCCACAUCCCAGAUCUCACCGAAGAGAUCAACUAGCCUAGGGCCAGGCCAGUAGGAGAGGACCUUGUCCAUUUUCUCCAUGAAAAGUCAACAUUUAUCUCUCCAAGUACAAGUCACUUCCUAAUCUUGAGAUGUGUGGAAACAAGCUCUUUAUGCUGAAAAUCAACUUCUACAUUUUAGUUCUGAGAUGUGAUUCUGCCAGCCAUGGUGGACGAGGAGGAUGGUAGGGACUUAGCUAGAGUAGCACGUCCUCACUAGACAGGGGUGGGUGGUGUGGGGAGGUGGGGGGCUUGGCCUUAGCCUGAGUGUGACGUUCAGCCUGCAUCUUGAGCACAGUGAGAGCCUGAGCCACUGCACCACUGAAGAUGCUUAGAAGAGAGACCACAGCAGGCGAGGAGGCUUCCCAGGGGUCUGCGCUGACAAACCAGGGAUGAGGGUGGCCAGCUGUGCAUGAGCCCCCCAGCGCCCAUGCAGGCGUCCCCACCUUCACCACCUAAGUGUGGUCACGCACCCAGGGAGAGCUUUCAACCUGGCUCUCUCAAGUGUGUUUCUAAACACUAGAGCCAGGAAUCCUGUCCUGUGGGUCCCUGAAACAUAACCGGUGAGCCCAAGAUCUCCUCGGAGAAACAAGGCUCCCCUUAGGGAGGGCCCAGGAACGUGGGGGCCUCUGUGAGGCAGAGGGUCCCAGAGGGUAUGACCGUUUCUGCAGAAUGGUGGCCACUCUGCAGAAACAAAAUCACAGCCCAGGAAGAGCUGCCAAAGUGGGGGCCAGGGGAGCCGGAGAGGGGGACUGAGCCAGAUGCCUGCAGAGCCGUGGCUCACAGCCUCUAGGAGGUACGCCCAUGAAUGUUUCAGAACACAUUUGAGGACUGACGUAUGUGACCAACUUUUUCUUUUGUUAAGCAAGGAUUUUUAAUCACCAUUACUGGAUUAAAGAAAAAACAUUUUGGCUGGGUGCAGUGGCUCACACCUUUAAUCCUAGCACUUUGGGAGGCUGAGGCAGGCGGAUCACUUGAGGUCAGGAGUUUGAGACCAGCCUAAGCAACAUGGCGAAAUGCCAUCUCUACUAAAAAUACAAAAAUUAGCCAGGCCUGAUGACACGCACCUGUACACCUGUAGUCCCAGCUACCUGGGAGGCUGAGGCAUGAGAAUUGCUUGAACCUGGGGAGGCGGAGGUUGCAGUGAGAUGAGAUGGUGCCACUGCACUCCAGCCUGGGUGACAGAGUGAGACUCCAUCUCAAAAUAAAUAAAUAAAUGACAUUUUAAUACCACAAUUAGGAUAAUUUCAGAAUAAAAAUUUUUUUUCUUUAAAACUUUGUAGAAAAUCCCACACACCCAAUUUGGCCUUGUCUGGGAAAUGUGAGGAUUCCUGUCUCCUGGGACAGACAGUCUCACUGCCAGGCAUCCUCCCCCUGCAGUGAUUCACAUCCUACAAUGUCUGCCCUGAUGUGUCAAUUGUAGAGUAGGUCCCUCAUGGAGGCCCAGAGGCCCCAGCCCAGAGCCCGUCUGUCAGUCAUUGGCUGAGAGUGGUUGGGACAGGUGACCCCGCAGUUGAGGCGACCCCCCACGAUCUCUGGAAAAGGCAGCUGAGCCCCAGUUGCAGCAGGUUGGGGGAGAUGGUGCUGCCACAGCACAAAGGACCUAGCCCCAGUGGCACCCACCACUGUCAGAACUCUCCACUGAGGGCCAGGGUGGAUCUUUCCUCCCACAUCCAAGCGCAUCUGACAUCUUCACCUUGAAUCCUGAGUUUCUCUCUUAACUCUGUCUCACUUUGUCAUGAACAAACUCUUUCUUGAAAGUUGUAUUUCUCUGGGGCCAGAAAGGCGAGGAAAGAGGCGCUUUCUCCUGGGAGGUGGGCCUCGUGUGUCCCUGUCGUGGCUGAGAGUGACUGCCCCAGCACCUAUGAAGAAAGCCCAGAGACUCUGGAGGCUCAGCUGGGAUAACGCCUGGCGUGCUCGGGGGUCAUGGCCACCGCCUGGACUCUGGAAAAAUGGGAAAAAUGCUCUUGGCAGACAGCGGGGCAGUCAGGAGGGAGCUGGCCCCACCAGCCCAGGCAACGCCCAAGAGCUGUCCUCCCACUCGGCUCCAGGAGACGUUUAAAUGGGGCCUGACUCCCCCAUCUCUGAUUUAAAAGAUAACCAGAAGCAGCAGAGAAAACAUCUGAAGUGCUUCCUGGACACACCUGUUAGGAAGUUUCUGCAAGAACCCAGGUCCUCCUUCCCACCAGACAUGAGGAUUUUAACUUGAUCAUCUCUGCAAAGACCUUAUCUUCAAAUACAGUUACAUUCUGAAGUCCUGGGGGUUAGGGCUGCAACACCCGAAUUGGUGGAGACAAAAUCCAGCUCCUGACAAUACCGCGUAUGAUAGCUGCGUCUCUGCCUGCAGUACUGUUUUCCAGGGAAAGCAUCUUUGAGUGUAUUCAGAAAGCCUCUCUCUGGGGCCAGGCCUUGCAGAGAAUCCUUCAGAAACUGGACAACCCCACCCAAGGCAGUCAGUGGGGAGGACACAUUUGGUGCCUCAUUGGUCCCUGGAUCUGCCUCACAGUCCUCAAUGUUCCUCCUCGUUCCCUCUACUCUUUCUCCUCUUUGGUUGACCUUGAAGCUCAUUCCUGGUGAAGGCCCCGUGGGAGCAGUGCAAUGACAAGAGGAGCCUGUUUUCAAUAGCACCCUCACGCUCUCCAGGGGUCCAUUGGAGGCGCCUAUGACCUCCUGAUGCUGAGGAGCCUAGAGUGGGCAGCCCUCGGGCCCAGGCUCCACCUGGGUGAGGCCUGUUUUAUUAUCAAUACUCACCACAGUCAUUUGUGGGAGUGUAAUGCUCAUAUUCCCAUUUAAGAGAUGAAUAAACUGAGGCAAGGUGAAGUGACUCAGCUGAGGCCACACCACAGUUUAAUGGGGAAGCCAGGAUAAGAGCUGGCGGCUUCUAUGUCUGAUCUACACUCUGAUGGGAGGUCGUCAGAGAGCCAUGUAAACGGUGAGGAGGUGACAUGCUGGUCCCUUCCAUAAAAGCUGUUUUGCAAAAUUAAAACACACACACAGUAAAGAUCCAGAUUUAUGCAAGUGAGAGUGAGGGGCUGACUAUUUACCAGUCAACAGAUCUCCCCAAAUGGUUCUCUGCUUGGGGUUGAGAUGCUCCUGACCAGCAGGGCUUGGGGAGAGACAUUCUUGCUCCCCCUAGAGCUGGCUGACCCAUACCCAGGGGAUUCUGAGCACCAGGGGCUGGGAGCAGCAUGUACCACGUGUUUCCCAAGAGUUAGUCAUGUUUGCUCCUAAAACUUAUUGUAAUCGAGGAAUCUAAUUAAACAAUACACCAACUGAAGAAACAGUGCAAAAAGAAUGAGUGACUGUUUCUAUGAAAACUUAGAUGAACUACUUUGGAAAGAUUCAAUAAAAAGCAUGCCUAAAUACAUAUACUGGGGCCAGGAGCAGUGAUUCACACUUGUAACCCCAGUGCUUUGGGAGGCUGAGGUGGGAGGGUGGCUUGAGGCUAGGAGUUUGAAACCAGCCUAGGCAACAUAGCAAGACCCUGUCUCUACAAAAAAACAAAAAUUUUUCAACUGGUUGUGGCAGCACCUGCCUAUGGUCCCAGCUGCUCUGGAAGCUGAGGUGAGAGGAUCACUCGAGCCCAGGAGUUCAGGCUGCAGUGAGCCGCAAGUGUGCCACUGCACUCCACCCUGGGCAACAGAGCAAGACCCUGUCUCUAAAAAAAUAAAUAAAAUAUGUACAUCCAGAUACAGUAUUAUGUGUGGGCGAGACACCGGUAAAAGAUGGAAACAAUCAUAAAAGUCAGGCAGGAUUCCACCUAAGAUUGUCUUUAGCUCUCAAUCUACCUUGUUUUAAAAUUUUUUUAUGAGCCAUAAAAGACCUAAGACUAGUCUUUAUUGUACAACUUGAUGAAUUCUGAUCCUGUGGCCAUACAGUUCAAAAUAGAGCAUUCUAGCACUCAGAAAGCUCCCUAGUGCCCUCAUCAGUUGGUGCCUGUCAACCCCAAGGAUGUCAUAGUCAUUUGGACACCCCUGGCACAGUCAUUCCACUUAGAGACUCUGCCAGAAGUCCCAGAUCAUAAUCAGGAGUGAAAUUUACACAAGAAGGGGCCGGAAGCCCUAGUGAGUAGUGAACUCAACUCCAAAAUAACCCUACACUAAAAAUAAAACUGGAACGUACUUUUUAUGUUUGAAAUUUAAAUAAGAUAGAUGUAUUUUUGUUAAAUCGUUCCAACCUGUACAACUUUUCUAUUCAUCAGCCAACUAGCCAGAGAAAGGGGGUUUCUGCUGCUGUCAGAGUAUAAAAAUGAGCUGCAAUUUUCAAAAUUUGACCUCAUCUAACUUUCUCCAGCUAUGCCAUUCCUGGAGCAUCCUCAGUCCAGUGCCUGAUGCGUAAAACAUAAUAAAAAGGUGACCCCACCACACCAAACACUGGGGUGUCUGUAGCAGUGACCGCGUCUCACGGGGAUUUUGUCUGAAUGCCUGUUCCUCCACUCGCCUAAUCCAUGGAGGUCAGGGAACCACGCAC
Molecule: long non-coding RNA, 6148 nt
Filed under: Homo sapiens (human)
Lineage: Eukaryota; Metazoa; Chordata; Mammalia; Primates; Hominidae
Description: HSALNT0131212
Source: RNAcentral